RNAcentral lists this long non-coding RNA (5094 nucleotides) under Mus musculus (house mouse). Its description in RNAcentral is "long non-coding RNA chr14:57580478-57585572". Lineage: Eukaryota; Metazoa; Chordata; Mammalia; Rodentia; Muridae. The record is from RNAcentral.
GUAUUUAAAAUACAAAGCAUGUAGAAUUAUAUUUCUUCUUUGCAGUAGAGAUAUUUUUUUCCAUACAUACUGUUACUAAAUGGUGAUCAACUUAGAAGAAAGGAUUCUCAAAAAUGUAUGGCCCUAAGCUUCGCAUCCUCGCACACCUAGCAUCACAGGUAUAGGAUGUAAUUUAGAUGCUCUGCUUCUACAGUUACACAAAAUUCCCAGAGCAUCAGCUAUUAAGAUGCACGUGCUGUGCAGUUCAGGUAGGAGGACAGUACUUGACAGAUGGUUUAGCAGGGAGUCGUCAAGAACAGCAGAGGAGCCUGCCCUUGCAUGGCAGUCUCAGAUGCACCUAGGUCAGAGGCCUCGAGCUGCCACUGCACUGUGUGACUGUGUCAGAGGCCUGCUGUUUAUAAAUGAGCUUUCAUUUUCAUAAUUAAAGCUGACACAAAAAUUAAGAGGAGCACGGGAGCAUAUAAAAAUCCUGAUUAGAAAAGCCAGAGGAUCUAAAGAGAAUUUUUCUUUUUCUUUUUUUAAAGAUAGAUCAUACAUUGUAACCCAGACUAGCCUGACCUUCAUACUCAGCUUCCUAAAUGCCAGGAAUACAGGCAUGCACCACCAUGCCUAGCUAAAGUUAAAUGUUUAAGUCUUUGAGAUUGAGUUAGUGUGGCUCCUGUGACACGAGGAUAGCGCCCACUUCAGCAUAAUUAUUGCCCCUGAUGCCCCAAUGUGCAAUAGUCUGUGUGAAUUAGUCAUUCACACCCAUUAAAAAGUUAUUGCUUAAGCAAGCCAUUCAGAGUAGAUACAGGCUGUGUGGCUGGACAGAAACACACUGAGAAAGACAACCACGCUGGGAUGCUCUUCCACUCACUGAUAAACAUAAAUACAUAAUCAAAGGGGCAAGAGGAUCAUAGCAGCUAAUACCCAAAGCCAACUCUUAAGUGUCAAGACUUAAUUUCUCUCUAAAACAAAUCUGGUUUGUCUUUUCCUCUUAAAAUUAAGGCAAUGAAAUGGCUACAGUUCCUAAAGUCAUCUUUACGGAACGAAAAUAUACACGUAUUUUCCUCAAGUUCAGGCAUCACAGUCUGAUUAGAAACCUGAAAUAAUUACACAAAACCUGCAACAGUGAGGCUGAAAGGGAAGGAAAGGGAGGAAGUGGGGAGAGGGAGGACUAUGAAACCAACAAACACUUGUAAGGAUCUUCUUCCUGCGUAAUUAUAAUCACCGAAGGGGGGAAAUGUUGGAAAGCACAAAACCUGUUACAUGGUUUCAGCAUCUCUUGUAUUGAAUUAAAACUUUUAGGGUAAUGAAAGGAAGGAGCUUAUUAAAAUGGUUACUCUAGAGUCCAACAACCAAAUAUGCUAAUGAUGCACAGUAGGGCCCAAGAAUCCCUCCUACAAUCAGCUCCUCAGAUGACGAGGGAUCCAUGGACAUUUUGAAAACUAAUGCCGAGAACAUACCAACUUUGGAUAGCCACCUAUGCUUUGACAAAAGGGGAAAAGGCACUGAAUAUGAAUUUCAUGGUGCCCAUAUCUGUUUGCACAUAUAUGGAAUUGCAUUUUGAAAAAUAUAAAUCACCAUUCAGAAUCUAGAAGACAAGUAUACGGCAGAUGAUGGCUAACACCUAAUGACGAAGCUGAUUUCAAGUUGACCUCUCCUGUUUCACGGAACUCCACAUCAAAGUCUCAGGCUUUCCAAAUCCAAAAUGGUCAAACGAACUGAGGAACAGGACAAGACUCAAGUCAACUUUCAGCAAUUCAGUGCACUUUGCAGAAAGGAUCUAAGUUAAGCUUAUAGCUCUGUUUGUUUAUUUUACACAAAGGAGACCACCAACAUUUGCCAUAAAUUCUUCUAAACUCUUUAGGAAGGCCAUCUUCUGCUUCCGGUCCAGGGCAGGAGGAGUGCUGCUCGCUGUGAGCUUGUUGAAGGCAUCUGCUAAUCUCUGGUAAAUGACUGGGUCUUGUUGACUUGACAGUAAUGUCUCAACCAGUUCAGAAUAUUCAGCCUGCAGAAGAAACAAGGCAGCCAUAACAAUGUUUUCUUUGGCGGAUCCUAGCAGGAAUGUGGGGUUGGUGCUGAGGCAGGGCAGACAAAAACUCUUUCCAACAGUUCAGUGUUUAGGUCUUGUUCUCACCUUAUCUAUGCGCUAAUUAAUUUAAUAUGUAUGCUACUAUGAGAUUGACACUAUUAAUAUUCCCAUUUUACAGAUAAAGACUCUACCAGAUUGAGUAAUAUACUGAAAAAUCACAUGAGUACAGACAUUCUGGCUCCAGACCCACAUGGUCCCAGCUUUGCGGCCUUGCGUCAUAUACAUUUGUUCAUAACUCCUGUGCUUGGAAUGUUAAGGUGAACAGUUCUCUAGUGGCAAAUACACUGUUCUCCCAGUUCUGAGGGCAGCAGAAGCGUGGAGAAGGGUUGAGAGCUCUCUCAAAGUAGAGGCAGAACACUUUGAAAAUCCCAAGCCAGCAAUGUAGCAGUGGCUUUGGAUAAUGCAGUGGUGGCAUCUUCUAUUUUUAUUAACCACUCUCAUAACACUAGUAAACAGGUGAGUGUGCAGAGGCUUAAGGGAAAGUGACCUAGAACAGAGAAGCACUAUGGAAAAAGCUAGUCUGCCAUUAAAUUUUCAUGAGCUUCUCAGAACAUCACAACAUCCAAAUGAGAAAAUCAGAUAUAAUAUAGAGCAAAGAGAGGUAGGGUAUAGUUUCCCAAUCCCCAUCCCACUGUCUACAACACAGAGCCAGAGGGGCUGCCUGAACCACCCUGUGCAAAGGACAGGCCUGCUCGGAAGGCCAGCAUAAGCUUAGAUAACCUUCUGACUGUUACGAAACAGUACUGCUUCUGGGCCAGGCAGCAGGAAUCACACUAGCUGUUCUAAAGUGCCCACUCUCUUUUUUCUGUCUUUCAAAAAAACAAAACAAAACAAACAAACAGCUGGGUGGUGGCGCACGCCUUUAAUCCCAGCACUUGGGAGGCAGAGGCAGGCAGAUUUCUGAGUUCGAGGCCAGCCUGGUCUACAAAGUGAGUUCCAGGACAGCCAGAGCUACACAGAGAAACCCUGUCUCAAAAAACCAAAACCAAACAAACAAACAACCCCCCCCAAACAAACAAACCAAACCAAAACCCUCAAACCAUUUUUGACAUUUACUUAUGGGUAUGUGUUAUAGGUGUUUGGAGUUGGUCCUUGUGUGUGUGUGUGUGUGCAAAAAAAACCUUGCAUAGUUGGCACCUUCCCUCCACCAUGGACACAGGACUAAGGAUUGAACUCAAGUCAUCAGGCUUGGUGACAGUACCUAAAGCAUCCUUUGAGCCACCCUCUCAGGCCCAUGGUGCCUUAGUAACCAAAUGGACAGAAAAGGAAAAGGAACACACAGCUGAAAGGAGGAAUACUCAUAAGUAGUUGCCGCAAGAGCACAGCACGCACUUCCGGCCUGGGGGACCUGUUACAUUAGUCCCAUAGCAAUGAUGUUUUAGGAUCUUUAAGGUUCAACAACAACAACAACAACAACAACAACAAAAUAAUAACACUGUCUAGGAGAAGGGGGCUUUGUGAGUUAGGAUCUGAAAACCCUACUUUGAGGAGAGCAAAGCUUCUCCAACCUAUCACUUGGGCAUACUAAGGUAUGAGGGGAAAAUUAAGCCACACACUUCCCCAAUUUGUUCUUUUAUAUACUUGAUAGGCAGUUUUUCAGAAUUAGGAGGCUAGUGUGCUUCUGUUACAUUAAUCCCAUAGCAAUGAUGUUUUAGGAUCUUUAAGGUUCAACAACAACAAAACCACAUUGUUUCCAAAUCACUAAAUAAAAUAAUACUCUGAUCUUUACAUUCUAUGAAGGCAAAUCUGCUCCCAAUCUGAUUCACCUGCCACUCUAUGAAAUCUGAAUUCCUCAAAGAUACCACUCACUCUCUCGUGUACACACACGGGGCUCCUAGCAUAAGUGAUUAAAGCCAAGCUUUUGAGUGAGAACGGCAUCAGAGAAUGGCUCCUAACAGAGACGGGAUCUUUUGAUCUGACAAACAGAUUGCCUAUAAAUAUAAAACAUAAGCCUAGAGCACAUGAGGAAGCUAAGAAACGUCCCUGGGGUCAUGGGCUUAGGUGUCCCUGAAUCCACAAGUGCUGGUGUGCAAAGGGGGUGCAAUACCUGGUGCAAACACACCAAUGUGUAGAAUGCUUCGCCUGCUGCAGUGGUCAUCUCCGUGUUGUGCUUUUGCAAGACCAGCAUAUCAAAAACCAGCUGAAAGUACAUAAUGAGAUACAUCCAUAAAAUACAGAAUAAUAAUUUAUUUUUAAAGACAUUUUAUUUAUAUGAGUACACUGUAGCUGUCUUCAGACGCACCAGAAGAGGGCAUCAGACCUCAUUACAGAUGGUUGUGAGUCACCAUGUGAUUGCUGGGAAUUGAACUCAGGACCUCUGGAAGAGCAGUCAAUGCUCUUAACCACUGAGCUAUCUCUUCAGCCCCAGAGUAAUUAUUUAAAUCUCUAGUCCCUUUCUGGUCUGAAACAAGGAUCGGGGUUAUAGUCGAUUUCUUACAUUAACACAUCAAUUAUUAAAUCAUUUUUUUAAUCCAUGAAAAACACACAGAUGUUAUUUUCUGUGUAAUCUAAAUUAAAAAUAUCAAAUUCCUCGUAAUAUUUAUAGCAUCAUUCAAGGAUACAAAAUGGGCUAGGCAGUAGUGGGGCACAACUUUAAUCCUAGCACUCAGGAGGCAAGUGGAAGUCUAUGAGUUCAAGGCCAGACUGGUCUAUAGAGUUCUAGGAUAGUCAGGGCUACAGAGAAACCCUGCCUUAAAACAAAACAAAACAAACAAACAAAAAGCCAAAACAGAAGUGGAAGAGAACAGGGGAUUGGUCUGCACACACCUUUAAUCUCAGCACUUAGGAGGCAGAGGGAAGCAAAUCUGAGUUAAGAGGCCAGCAUGGUCCACAAAGCAAGUCCCAUAACAGGCAAAGAUGCACCGAGAAACCCUGCCUCAAAAAGCCACACACAACUACAAAAAACAGUGAAUAAAGUAUUUUCUCUUCUCUAACAGAAUGCAAGUACAUUUUCAUUUGACUCAAGAGUUUCAUGGGUUUGGCAAGAUAGCUCAGGGGCUAAAAGCACUGGCUGCCCUUCC